CCUACGGGAGGCUGCAGUGGGGAAUAUUGGACAAUGGGCGAAAGCCUGAUCCAGCCAUGCCGCGUGUGUGAAGAAGGCCUUCGGGUUGUAAAGCACUUUCAGUGGGGAAGAAAGCCUUGGGGCUAAUACCCUCGAGGAAGGACAUCACCCACAGAAGAAGCACCGGCUAACUCCGUGCCAGCAGCCGCGGUAAUACGGAGGGUGCGAGCGUUAAUCGGAAUUACUGGGCGUAAAGCGCGCGUAGGCGGUCUGAUAAGCCGGUUGUGAAAGCCCCGGGCUCAACCUGGGAACGGCAUCCGGAACUGUCAGGCUAGAGUGCAGGAGAGGAAGGUAGAAUUCCCGGUGUAGCGGUGAAAUGCGUAGAGAUCGGGAGGAAUACCAGUGGCGAAGGCGGCCUUCUGGACUGACACUGACGCUGAGGUGCGAAAGCGUGGGUAGCAAACAGGAUUAGAUACCCGAGUAGUUC
RNAcentral lists this ribosomal RNA (466 nucleotides) under Vreelandella stevensii. Its description in RNAcentral is "partial 16S ribosomal RNA". It matches the Rfam family "Bacterial small subunit ribosomal RNA", at positions 338 to 796 of the family's 1533-position model. Lineage: Bacteria; Pseudomonadati; Pseudomonadota; Gammaproteobacteria; Oceanospirillales; Halomonadaceae. The record is from RNAcentral.